RNAcentral lists this ribosomal RNA (473 nucleotides) under uncultured organism. RNAcentral's name for it is "partial 16S ribosomal RNA". It matches the Rfam family "Bacterial small subunit ribosomal RNA", at positions 332 to 801 of the family's 1533-position model. The record is from RNAcentral.
UACACUCCUACGGGAGGCAGCAGUGAGGAAUAUUGGACAAUGGGUGGAAGCCUGAUCCAGCCAUCCCGCGUGCAGGAAGACGGCCCUAUGGGUUGUAAACUGCUUUUAUCUGGGGAUAAACCUACUUACGUGUAAGUAGCUGAAGGUACCAGAAGAAUAAGCACCGGCUAACUCCGUGCCAGCAGCCGCGGUAAUACGGAGGGUGCAAGCGUUAUCCGGAUUUAUUGGGUUUAAAGGGUCCGUAGGCGGACUGAUAAGUCAGUGGUGAAAUCCGACAGCUUAACUGUCGAACUGCCAUUGAUACUGUUAGUCUUGAGUAAGGUUGAAGUGGCUGGAAUAAGUAGUGUAGCGGUGAAAUGCAUAGAUAUUACUUAGAACACCAAUUGCGAAGGCAGGUCACUAAGUCUUAACUGACGCUGAUGGACGAAAGCGUGGGGAGCGAACAGGAUUAGAAACCCCAGUAGUCCCAUGAU